RNAcentral lists this ribosomal RNA (253 nucleotides) under uncultured bacterium. Its description in RNAcentral is "partial 16S ribosomal RNA". It matches the Rfam family "Bacterial small subunit ribosomal RNA", at positions 524 to 776 of the family's 1533-position model. The record is from RNAcentral.
UACGAAGGGGGCAAGCGUUGUUCGGAAUCAUUGGGCGUAAAGGGCGCGUAGGCGGACUUAUAAGUCGAUUGUGAAAUCCCUGGGCUUAACCCGGGAAUUGCAGUCGAAACUGUAAGUCUUGAGUUCUCGAGAGGAUGGUGGAAUUCCUGGAGUAGUAGUGAAAUACGUAGAUAUCAGGAGGAACACCGGAGGCGAAGGCGGCCAUCUGGCGAGACACUGACGCUGAGGCGCGAAAGCAUGGGGAGCAAACAGG